CCCAGAGCCUGAAUCAGUGUGUGUGUUAGUGGAAGCGUCUGGAAAGGCGUGCGAUACAGGGUGACAGCCCCGUACACAAAAAUGCACAUAUUGUGAGCUCGAUGAGUAGGGCGGGACACGUGGUAUCCUGUCUGAAUAUGGGGGGACCAUCCUCCAAGGCUAAAUACUCCUGACUGACCGAUAGUGAACCAGUACCGUGAGGGAAAGGCGAAAAGAACCCCGGCGAGGGGAGUGAAAAAGAACCUGAAACCGUGUACGUACAAGCAGUGGGAGCCUCUUAAUGGGGUGACUGCGUACCUUUUGUAUAAUGGGUCAGCGACUUAUAUUCUGUAGCAAGGUUAACCGAAUAGGGGAGCCGAAGGGAAACCGAGUCUUAACUGGGCGUUAAGUUGCAGGGUAUAGACCCGAAACCCGGUGAUCUAGCCAUGGGCAGGUUGAAGGUUGGGUAACACUAACUGGAGGACCGAACCGACUAAUGUUGAAAAAUUAGCGGAUGACUUGUGGCUGGGGGUGAAAGGCCAAUCAAACCGGGAGAUAGCUGGUUCUCCCCGAAAGCUAUUUAGGUAGCGCCUCGUGAAUUCAUCUCCGGGGGUAGAGCACUGUUUCGGCAAGGGGGUCAUCCCGACUUACCAACCCGAUGCAAACUGCGAAUACCGGAGAAUGUUAUCACGGGAGACACACGGCGGGUGCUAACGUCCGUCGUGAAGAGGGAAACAACCCAGACCGCCAGCUAAGGUCCCAAAGUCAUGGUUAAGUGGGAAACGAUGUGGGAAGGCCCAGACAGCCAGGAUGUUGGCUUAGAAGCAGCCAUCAUUUAAAGAAAGCGUAAUAGCUCACUGGUCGAGUCGGCCUGCGCGGAAGAUGUAACGGGGCUAAACCAUG
This 882-nucleotide ribosomal RNA is filed under the name Escherichia coli. RNAcentral's name for it is "partial 23S ribosomal RNA". It matches the Rfam family "Bacterial large subunit ribosomal RNA", at positions 296 to 1191 of the family's 2925-position model. The record is from RNAcentral. Lineage: Bacteria; Pseudomonadati; Pseudomonadota; Gammaproteobacteria; Enterobacterales; Enterobacteriaceae.